This 1032-nucleotide long non-coding RNA is filed under the name Bemisia tabaci. RNAcentral's name for it is "lncRNA ENSSSA3NGG010869". Lineage: Eukaryota; Metazoa; Arthropoda; Insecta; Hemiptera; Aleyrodidae. The record is from RNAcentral.
UGUCAUGUCCGUUCCUUCACAGAAUAUAUCGAAACAAUUGAAUACCAGCUGAGUACUUUUUUGGGCCAAAAUCAUCCUAACAUCCCGCCAUUGUGGCUUGAACUUGCUGAGCAGUUUGCUAAACGCUAUUUUGAUUCAAACAACGGAAAGUAUUUAUAUGCUAUAGAAGCUAAAAGCUCGGAUAAUUCAUUCGCUCAAAUCAGCGAAGAGCCUAAAGUUCGAUUCCUGGUUGACUGCUUAGUACGGAAAGCAGCUUACUCUCGUGCAGAGAGAUUUGAUUUCCCGUCAUGGUCGUUUUUAGUGCAAGUCAGUUUGUCAAAUUAUAUAUGGAAGGCCACUGAUUUAAAAUAUCUAAAACUUUCUUUUAGUGAAGAUGAGGAUCAAAAUUUUUUUAGGGAAGGAAUCAAUUCUUUAAGUCAACGUCUGCUAAUCCGCAUACCAUUUUUAACAAAUUUGACCCAUUUUCAUGUCAAUGAGUUCUCAGAUGAGCUCAUCGCCAUAUUAUGCAAGAAUUGUAAGUCUCUGGAAUCUCUUAAACUAGGAAAUCUUCGAGAAGAAGCAGGGUUUAUUAAUUAUCAUAUUACAAAUGAAAGCAUCGAAUUUCUUGCUUCUUUAACAAAGUUGAAAACUUUAGAAAUUUAUAUAUUUGAGGAUUUGUUUGCAAGACUUCUUUUGAAGUCCCAAUCUCAUAACUUAACAUACUUUUCAAGUACAAUUGAACAUUGGGAGUUUGAGGGUAGUUUUAUUAAUACGCUCCUAAAGGAAUUAGUCAGUGAAGUUGUGCCCUUCCGUUCUUUUAAUUUGAUCCGUAUAAAAUGUGACGAGCUUGAUUCAGAUCUUUCGUGUUUGGUACCUAAGUAUUUCCCCUAUUUAGAGUCUAUUGAUGUUAUAAACUGCUUGGAUGAUAUGCCAGAACUUUCUUUUCUAGAAUCUUUGAACCAUCUGAAAGCAGUUAAUUUAAAAAUUACUAUAUAUACUUAUAUGCGCUCAUUUUGGCGCACAACUUUCUGGUUUGAAAAUAGCAAAACUUAA